This 568-nucleotide non-coding RNA is filed under the name Macleaya cordata. RNAcentral's name for it is "Bacterial small subunit ribosomal RNA". It matches the Rfam family "Bacterial small subunit ribosomal RNA", at positions 349 to 976 of the family's 1533-position model. The record is from Rfam by way of RNAcentral. Lineage: Eukaryota; Viridiplantae; Streptophyta; Magnoliopsida; Ranunculales; Papaveraceae.
AAAUUGAUGGUCAUAUUCCUCGUUUCAUGAAAUCGCUUCGUGAGAUGGAAAAGAAGUCUAUGCCGCGUGAAGGUAGAAGGCCCACGGGUCUUGAACUUCUUUUCCUGGAGAAGAAGCAAUGACGGUAUCUGGGGAAUAAGUAUCGGCUAACUCUGUACCAGUAGCCGUGGUGAGACAGAGGAUGCAAGCGUUAUCCGGAAUGAUUGGGCGUAAGGCGUAUGUAGGUGGCUUUUCAAGUCCACUGUCAAAUCCCAGGGCUCAACCUUGGACAGGUGGUGGAAACUACCAUGCUGGAGUACGGUAGGGGCAGAGGGAAUUUCCGGUGAAGCGGUGAGAUGCUUAGAGAUCCGAAAGAACACCAAUGGCGAAAGCACUCUGCUGGGCCGACAUUGACACUGAGAGACGAAAGCUAAGGGAGCGAAUGGGAUUAGAUACCCCGUGCAGUCUGUAGCUAACGCGUUAAGUAUCCCGCUUGUGGGAAAACGUUCGCAAGAAUGAAAUUCAAAGGAUUGUCGGUUGAGAAGCCUUUCUCCUUAAUACCAAAUGGAACUUUUGUAUAAUCUUUAAU